This 774-nucleotide ribosomal RNA is filed under the name uncultured Neocallimastigales. Its description in RNAcentral is "partial large subunit ribosomal RNA". It matches the Rfam family "Eukaryotic large subunit ribosomal RNA", at positions 24 to 611 of the family's 3401-position model. The record is from RNAcentral. Lineage: Eukaryota; Fungi; Neocallimastigomycota; Neocallimastigomycetes; Neocallimastigales.
UAUCUCUGUAGAGUCUGCAUAUCAAUAAGCGGAGGAAAAGAAACUAACAAGGAUUCCCUUAGUAACGGCGAGUGAAGCGGGAAGAGCUCAAAUUUGAAAUCUUCAAGGUUUUACCUUGACGAAUUGUAGUUUAAAGAAGUGUUUUCUGUUGAAGUUUCGGUAAAAGUUCUUUGGAAUAGGACAUCAUAGAGGGUGAGAAUCCCGUAUUUGACCGUUAUUUUCAGCUGUGUGAUACACUUUCAAAGAGUCGGAUUGUUUGGGAAUGCAGUCCAAAAUGGGUGGUAAAUUUCAUCUAAAGCUAAAUAUUGGCGAGAGACCGAUAGCGAACAAGUACCGUGAGGGAAAGAUGAAAAGAACUUUGAAAAGAGAGUCAAACAGUACGUGAAAUUGUCAAAAGGGAAGCGUUUGACACCAGUGUUGUUUUCUCGAAAAUCAAUUAAAAAUGGCUUGAUUUUGUGUUGUAUUGACCUUAAAAGCUUUCUUCACUUUUUUCAUGUCUUUUUUAAUGCACUUUUCGUUUAACAAGUCAGCAUCAGUUUCUUUUGUUGUAAAAAGGUCAUUGGAAGGUGGCUUUCUUUUCGGAGAAAGUGUUUAUAGCCUUUGACUCCUGCAAUCGGAGAGACUGAGGUCUGCAGCGUAGAUCCUUAUGGAUUAGAUUCAUUUGUGCUAAGUUAUAGCUCUUUAUAGACAACAUGUUGACUAUAUUUAGUCUUGUAACUUACUCGCUUAUGUAAUUUUACCUACGCUUAGGAUGUUGAACGCGCACAGAGUCUC